Molecule: long non-coding RNA, 650 nt
Filed under: Coffea arabica (coffee)
Lineage: Eukaryota; Viridiplantae; Streptophyta; Magnoliopsida; Gentianales; Rubiaceae
Description: long non-coding RNA (CARA_LNC001187)
Source: RNAcentral
GUAUUUUCACUAGAUGUGCACCAGAGAUUGAGAAUCUCCACGGACAAGGAGGUAAACUUUUCAAUUUAGCAAGUUUUUUCCUCUUUAAUUUUUCUAACGGGUAAAAGGUGGAAUUUUUCCCCAAGGCCGUGACUUUUAAAAGCUGCACAACUGGAGAGAGCUUUCUUGUGUAUAAAAUACAAAGCUUAUGUUAUAUCACACCUAAUCUAAACUACUACAACAGUUAGAGUUUGCAAUUGGAAGCUCAGAUUUCGUCCCCUUAUCAAUUCAGGAUAACAAAUUUCCUAGUCGAUCUUGGCCCAUUUUAAUGCCAGAGACACAGAGCCAAAAACAGAGGAGCACUUACCUAAGCGAGCCAGAGAUGAGCAGUGAUGAACCAGCGAUGAACCAGUGAGAUCUUGGUGCUUCGUCUUCGACACUCGGCAGCGAUGAACCAGCACGGCAGGACACAGCCGACAGGAGACGUAGAGCGCGGCGGAAUGGCGGAUGCCGGAGAGGCGGAGAGCAGCUUCGAUUUGGGAAUUGGGACUUGGGACUUGGGAGUGUUAGUGCGGUGAAAGCCCUAGGCGACGGCAGUCACGGCACUAUGCAAUAUUGCAAAUUUGCAAUGGUUGUUUUCUCACUUUCAUCAGCUGAAGAUGAAAUCCGAC